Long non-coding RNA from Mytilus californianus (California mussel), 892 nucleotides. RefSeq lists it as uncharacterized. The transcript has 2 exons. The record is from RefSeq and is a predicted model, not a curated record. Lineage: Eukaryota; Metazoa; Mollusca; Bivalvia; Mytilida; Mytilidae.
CUGGAGGAGGAGGUGGCGGCGGAGGACGAAGAAAAUAGAACAAAAGUACCUGCAAAUGAAACUACGAUACGGCUGUAAAAGACGGGUCAUCUUUUCCUGUAAACAUUUUAAGCUGAGAAUUUAUUAAUAGUUUUCACUGACUUAUUUUCUUGCAUAGCUAUAUGUUUGAAAUAUGAACUAACCGUAUCCUUUGUUUUUUCUAUAAUUGUAUAAUAAAAAAUAAACCAGAAUCAUUAUUUUAUUUUCCUCAAAAUGAGAAUCUGUAAAAGUAUAAAUUUAUUGGAAAUAAAAACAUUUUUGUCUGCAAGUUCAGAUAAUCAUUGAGGAUUAAGUAAUAUCUACUGUGUAGUAAUUUUAUCUGGGGAUUAGCCAUCUGGGGUCUAGGGCUGUAUUGUACAUCAUGAGUGUAGAAACUUUAUAUUCUGCCUGAGGCCAAUGUAUGCUAUGGUCAAAUAAGGAAGUGGAUUAGCCAGUUAUUGGGAGGGACAAUUAAGAUCAGAUUAUUGCAUGAACUUGGACAUGCAGUCAUUCAGCUAAUUUCUCUGAAAGAGGAAACAUCUUUUAUUUGAAACUUGGAAAAUAUUUUGUAACUUUUUGCAAAAACCCACCCAUCUUCCACCCAAUUUUAAUGACAGUUUAAAUCAUUAAUUUUUACUGUUAUUAUUUUAUCAUCUUGAGAUACUAGAUAUGUGAUGCUUCACAAGAUUAUUUUUAUUGUAUUUGUAGUAGUAUUUUACUAUUUGUUCCUGUAAUGUAUGAUAUACUGGUUGGGGCAUUUUCUAAACCCCACCUUUGCUUUUUAAUGUCAUUGUUAUUUAUUUGCUACUAUUGAUAUUGUUAAUAUGUCAUUCUCAAUUAAUGAUAAAUUUUGAAUAAAUGACAUUUUGCUCAA